Molecule: ribosomal RNA, 603 nt
Filed under: uncultured bacterium
Lineage: Bacteria
Description: bacterial SSU rRNA
Rfam family: Bacterial small subunit ribosomal RNA
Source: RNAcentral
GCCUAACACAUGCAAGUCGAGCGAGAAGCUUAUGAUUGAAUCUUCGGAUGACUGAAUAAGUGGAAAGCGGCGGACGGGUGAGUAACGCGUGGGUAUCCUGCCCCAUACAAAGGGAUAGCCACUGGAAACGGUGAUUAAUACCAUAUGAGAUCGUAGAGUCGCAUGACUUAGCGGUUAAAGAUUUAUCGGUAUGGGAUGGACCCGCGUCUGAUUAGCUAGUUGGUAAGGUAACGGCUUACCAAGGCGACGAUCAGUAGCCGACCUGAGAGGGCGAUCGGCCACACUGGAACUGAGACACGGUCCAGACUCCUACGGGAGGCAGCAGUGGGGAAUAUUGCACAAUGGGCGCAAGCCUGAUGCAGCAACGCCGCGUGAGCGAUGAAGGCCUUCGGGUCGUAAAGCUCUGUCCUCAAGGAAGAAUAAAUGACGGUACUUGAGGAGGAAGCCCCGGCUAACUACGUGCCAGCAGCCGCGGUAAUACGUAGGGGGCAAGCGUUAUCCGGAAUCACUGGGCGUAAAGGGUGCGUAGGCGGUUUUUCAAGUCAGAAGUGAAAGGCUAUGGCUCAACCAUAGUAAGCUUUUGAAACUGUAAAACUUGAGUGC